CAAAACUCACGAAUGAGCCUUAGAGAUGAAAAGAAAACAAUUGCAAAUGAGCGAUGCAAAUAUUUCCAUGACAAAGUUCUUGUUACCAUAGCAAAGUGACCAUAGGAAUAAUGUUUAAGACUAAACAUCUGUGUCUGUCAAAUGUCUCGGUAAGAUUUGCUUCCUCUACUGCAGAUGGAAAGCUGAAUUUUCCAGUGACUGUCCCAUGAAGUUGCCACUUCACAAGGUAUCAGAUGAUGAUGACGAUGAUGAUGAUGAUGAUGAUGAUGAUGAUGAUGAUGAUGAUGAUGGUGAUCAUAUCCAGAGAGAAGCAAAGUGAAUGUGCCCUGGACAACUUUCAGGAAGACAGUUCUGGUCUGUAGCAAUUAACACAUGGUCAUCCUCAGAAAAAGGAGAUACCCAUAACUUAAAAUGCAGGAACCAAGAGAUUUGAGCCUAGACAUUUGGAUGAAAAGCGAUUUCCACCUGGAGAAAGUCACUGCCCUUCUGUGCAGAGUACCAUUGUGUCUUGAAUCCAGCUUGGCCAUAAGGAAAUGGGGCGAGACUUUGUCAUGUAUGUCGCUGAAGUUCAGCUAUGCAAAAAUGUUCACCUAUCCUUGAUCAACCAGUCCAGGAACCAUCAAAGAAGAAAAUGAGAUUCGACUUAGAAGACCUGUUCUUUAUAAACCCCUGCACAGCCCUAAUGAUCAACACCACUUCCAGUGCUCAUAAAUUACUGCUUCAAUAAUUGUUCUGCAAUUCUGCCUAUUCUCAUUGAAUGCUUCGUAUAAUCCCUUUAUUUACUUUGGGCUACGAUUCAUUUUUAUCAGUGAGUAUUGUACUUGUUUCAUCUCAAAAAUCAUUCUCCUUGAGAAAAAAAAAAAGAACAGAGUUGAGGAAUCCUGCUUUCUCUUUCAUCCACAAAUGCUCUAUUGUCAGAAGGGGGCUUAUAUUUCUUGUGAACUUCUUGUGCUGAUUUUAACUUUGUAAAGUUUUCCUGUUUUCCACGUAUGAAUGAGCAUGAGAACUAUGAAAGGCAAUCAGGUAUAAGAUAUUGUCAAGUAUGUGACUUGAGGGACAAGUGAUCUAUGUGAGCCUGAAGGGAAUCCUGGGAUUGAGAGAGCAUGCAGAGAAGGCACAUAGGUGUGCUAGGGCAUGCAGGUUGUACAGAGAUGGACAGGGAGAAAAUUCGAGUGACAGAGGUUUUCUAUAUGGUGGGAGUAGUGUGGGUUGGCGUCUAUCAGGGGAGACCAACUGACCAUAUCCCUCUGUUCACUUUUAGCCAUGAGUACAAGGCUACAAGAACUCGAGAGGUCAUCUAAGUUAUUUCUGGCUCUUUCAGGUCAAAUGACUACUAGACUAUCCUGGUUUCUAAUUUGAAAUGUAUCCAAAGAAGAUUCCUGUCUCACCCUCUGCAAUCCACUUGCAUGUCUGACCACACUCGGUGCCUACACAAUCUUCACUUUGUCUAGCCUAAAUUCUUCUAACUGUGGCCUAAGGCCUUGGAAGAAUGAUGCCUCUGUGGGGUAAGAACUGCCUUCGUGGCAUAAGAAAGGCAGACCUGGGUGAUCUGGAAGGGCUGUUGCAAGGGGAUAGGAGUGCUGAGGCCUUUUCCAUUAAGAAUACACAGGACUAUGGAGACUCUUGUUUUACUAGAAACUUCUUCACAGAUACCUUAAAUUAGGAAG
Molecule: long non-coding RNA, 1667 nt
Filed under: Homo sapiens (human)
Lineage: Eukaryota; Metazoa; Chordata; Mammalia; Primates; Hominidae
Description: PREDICTED lncRNA (TCONS_00079361)
Source: RNAcentral